This 316-nucleotide ribosomal RNA is filed under the name uncultured bacterium FR054. Its description in RNAcentral is "bacterial SSU rRNA". It matches the Rfam family "Bacterial small subunit ribosomal RNA", at positions 1 to 353 of the family's 1533-position model. The record is from RNAcentral.
UAGAGUUUGAUCCUGGCUCAGAGCGAACGCUGGCGGCAGGCUUAACACAUGCGAGUCGAACGGUCCUUCGGGAUAGUGGCGGACGGGUGAGUAACACGUGGGAACGUACCCUUAGGUUCGGAACAACACAGGGAAACUUGUGCUAAUACCGGAUAAGCCCUUCGGGGGAAAGAUUUAUCGCCUUUGGAGCGGCCCGCGUCUGAUUAGCUUGUUGGUGAGGUAAUGGCUCACCAAGGCUACGAUCAGUAGCUGGUCUGAGAGGAUGGCCAGCCACACUGGGACUGAGACACGGCCCAGACUCCUACGGGGGGCAGCA